GUAGUCCACGCCGUAAACGUUGGGCGCUAGGUGUGGGGGCUUUCCAAGGUUUCCGUGCCGCAGCUAACGCAUUAAGCGCCCCGCCUGGGGAGUACGGCCGCAAGGCUAAACUCAAAGGAAUUGACGGGGGCCCGCACAAGCGGCGGAGCAUGUUGCUUAAUUCGACGCAACGCGAAGAACCUUACCUGGGUUUGACAUGCGCCAGACAUCCCUAGAGAUAGGGCUUCCCUUGUGGUUGGUGUGCAGGUGGUGCAUGGCUGUCGUCAGCUCGUGUCGUGAGAUGUUGGGUUAAGUCCCGCAACGAGCGCAACCCUUGCCCCAUGUUGCCAGCAUUUCGGAUGGGAACUCAU
This 350-nucleotide ribosomal RNA is filed under the name uncultured Actinomycetes bacterium. RNAcentral's name for it is "bacterial SSU rRNA". It matches the Rfam family "Bacterial small subunit ribosomal RNA", at positions 790 to 1142 of the family's 1533-position model. Lineage: Bacteria; Bacillati; Actinomycetota; Actinomycetes. The record is from RNAcentral.